Molecule: regulatory RNA element, 44 nt
Organism: Synechococcus sp. KORDI-100
Lineage: Bacteria; Bacillati; Cyanobacteriota; Cyanophyceae; Synechococcales; Synechococcaceae
Rfam family: PhotoRC-I RNA
Source: Rfam
AGGCAGGGCAUCCCUGCCCUUCCUUAAACCGUUCCUCCGGGAAC